Molecule: ribosomal RNA, 419 nt
Filed under: uncultured bacterium
Lineage: Bacteria
Description: bacterial SSU rRNA
Rfam family: Bacterial small subunit ribosomal RNA
Source: RNAcentral
AUUGUUCGCAAUGGGCGCAAGCCUGACGACGCAACGCCGCGUGGAGGAUGAAGACUUUCGGGUCGUAAACUCCUUUCGACCGAGAUGAACGUCUCCCGACCCAACACGUCGGGAGAGUGACAGUAUCGAGGGAAGAAGCCCCGGCUAACUCUGUGCCAGCAGCCGCGGUAAUACAGGGGGGGCAAGCGUUGUUCGGAAUUACUGGGCGUAAAGGGUUCGUAGGUGGACAACUAAGUCAGACGUGAAAUCCCUCAGCUUAACUGGGGAACUGCGUCUGAUACUGGUUGGCUUGAGUGCAGGAGAGGAACGCGGAAUUCCAGGUGUAGCGGUGAAAUGCGUAGAUAUCUGGAGGAACACCGGUGGCGAAGGCGGCGUUCUGGACUGCAACUGACACUGAGGAACGAAAGCCAGGGGAGCAA